UUCGAAAUGGGUAGACGCUACGGACUUAAAAUCCGUUGGCUUUAUUGACCGUGAGGGUUCAAGUCCCUCUACCCCCA
Molecule: transfer RNA, 77 nt
Filed under: Dicranum scoparium
Lineage: Eukaryota; Viridiplantae; Streptophyta; Bryopsida; Dicranales; Dicranaceae
Description: partial tRNA-Leu
Rfam family: tRNA
About the family: Transfer RNA (tRNA) molecules are approximately 80 nucleotides in length.
Source: RNAcentral